CAGCAGCCGCGGUAAUACGUAGGGUGCAAGCGUUAAUCGGAAUUACUGGGCGUAAAGCGUGCGCAGGCGGUUAUAUAAGACAGAUGUGAAAUCCCCGGGCUUAACCUGGGAACUGCAUUUGUGACUGUAUAGCUAGAGUACGGCAGAGGGGGAUGGAAUUCCGCGUGUAGCAGUGAAAUGCGUAGAUAUGCGGAGGAACACCGAUGGCGAAGGCAAUCCCCUGGGCCUGUACUGACGCUCAUGCACGAAAGCGUGGGGAGCAAACAGGAUUAGAUACCCCUGUAGUCCCUGUCUCUUAUAU
Molecule: ribosomal RNA, 301 nt
Filed under: uncultured bacterium
Lineage: Bacteria
Description: partial 16S ribosomal RNA
Rfam family: Bacterial small subunit ribosomal RNA
Source: RNAcentral